AUUAUUAUUAUUAUUAUUAUUAUUAUUAUUAUUAUCUAGUUUGCCUUCAUUCGGGGCGUGAUGAUAAUUCGAAUUAUCAAGUUAAAAGGACCGUUAAACGCGUAUCGGUCGAUUUUCUGUAGCCGAACAGGUGAUACUGUAAGCAACGUGUACUUUUCUAUCUUCUAUUCUUUACCAUUUCAUUAAUAUGACAAAUGAAGAAUAUUUUUCCGUGAUAUUAGUCCCUUCGUGGAUGUCGCCGUUACAGCGAAGAUUACUUGCAAACAUUUACAGAAUGCUUUUCGAGGUUCAAUCUGCUUCACGUGGGAAUGACUCCACAUGGCGAAUGUCUUUACUUAAAACAGUAUUUCUCUUCCAUAUUCAUCAACUCCGCAUUCUAACUACUUUUACGGAAAUCGUAUUCUUAGUUACCAGAUCGCUAUCAAACAAAAAUCGAAAUUUUUGUUUUGACUUUUUAUUUUAACUGACUCUUUAAUGGUGUGUAUUCGUUAGAUCUGUUGUGCUGCUG
Molecule: long non-coding RNA, 508 nt
Filed under: Androctonus crassicauda
Lineage: Eukaryota; Metazoa; Arthropoda; Arachnida; Scorpiones; Buthidae
Source: RNAcentral